UUGGAGGGCAAGUCUGGUGCCAGCAGCCGCGGUAAUUCCAGCUCCAAUAGCGUAUAUUAAAGUUGUUGCAGUUAAAAAGCUCGUAGUUGAAUCUCGGGAUUGACACAUCGGUCGUGCCUUAAGGGGUAUGAACUGGUGUAGUCAAUUUCUCACCUUCUGGAGAACCGCGAUGCCCUUAAUUGGGUGCCGCGGGGAACCAGGACCUUUACUUUGAAAAAAUUAGAGUGUUUAAAGCAGGCAUUUUGCUUGAAUACAUUAGCAUGGAAUAAUAAAAUAGGACGGCAUGAUUCUAUUUUGUUGGUUUCUAGGAUCACCGUAAUGAUUAAUAGGGAUAGUUGGGGGCAUUAGUAUUCAAUUGUCAGAGGUGAAAUUCUUGGAUUUAUUGAAGACUAACUACUGCGAAAGCAUUUGCCAAGGAUGUUUUCAUUAAUCAAGAACGAAAGUUAGGGGAUCGAAGACGAUCAGAUACCGUCGUAGUCUUAACCAUAAACUAUGCCGACUAGGAAUCAGACGAUGUUAAUUUUUUAAUGACUCGUUUGGCACCUUACGGGAAACCAAAGUGUUUGGGUUC
RNAcentral lists this ribosomal RNA (571 nucleotides) under uncultured Glomeromycotina. Its description in RNAcentral is "SSU rRNA". It matches the Rfam family "Eukaryotic small subunit ribosomal RNA", at positions 548 to 1114 of the family's 1831-position model. Lineage: Eukaryota; Fungi; Glomeromycota. The record is from RNAcentral.